Molecule: ribosomal RNA, 468 nt
Filed under: uncultured bacterium
Lineage: Bacteria
Description: partial 16S ribosomal RNA
Rfam family: Bacterial small subunit ribosomal RNA
Source: RNAcentral
GACGAACGCUGGCGGCGUGCUUAACACAUGCAAGUCGAACGGAAAGGCCCUGCUUUUGUGGGGUGCUCGAGUGGCGAACGGGUGAGUAACACGUGAGUAACCUGCCCUUGACUUUGGGAUAACUUCAGGAAACUGGGGCUAAUACCGGAUAGGAGCUCCUGCUGCAUUGUGGGGGUUGGAAAGUUUCGGCGGUUGGGGAUGGACUCGCGGCUUAUCAGCUUGUUGGUGGGGUAGUGGCUUACCAAGGCUUUGACGGGUAGCCGGCCUGAGAGGGUGACCGGACAAAUUGGGACUGAGAUACGGCCCAGACUCCUACGGGAGGCAGCAGUGGGGAAUAGUGAACAAUGGGAGGAAGCCUGAUGCAGAAACGCAGCGUGCGGGAUGACGGCCUUCGGGUUGUAAACCGAUUUCGAAUGUGACGAAGCGUGAGUGACGGUAAUGGGUAAAGAAGGACCGGCUAACUACGUG